This is a long non-coding RNA of Hydra vulgaris (swiftwater hydra), 1152 nucleotides long. RefSeq lists it as uncharacterized. NCBI's taxonomy places the organism in Eukaryota, Metazoa, Cnidaria, Hydrozoa, Anthoathecata, Hydridae. The record is from RefSeq and is a predicted model, not a curated record.
GUACAAAAUCAUUGACUUUACCAGCAUUUUUGAUUCUUAUUUUAAUGGAGACAGUUUGGAUUGGUUAACGUGUGCUUACUACAUAACUUAUAUAAAAUCAACAUUGUUACCUGUGCAAGUAAAAGCUGAUCGUCCUAGUUUACAUUUAUCAAAUCUUCUUGGAAAAAUAAAACUGUUAUUGUAAAAGUUUAUUAACUAAUAUCACAUUACAUGGUCGAAAUCUGGUGAUGGUAAGAAAAAAAAACUGUGUGGCUGGCGUUAAAAUCUUAUAUCGCACAUCCUGGCUAAGUCAAUCUUGUGAUUUAAAGAUUUCUACCAUUUUUAUCAAGCAACCAAAGGAUUAAAAACAAAUAUGUGCAAGCCAUUGGUGUCUUUUGAUUAUGCCAUCAAGUAUCUUUCGAAAGAUAUAGAUAAUGACAUCAUUAUUGAAAGCUUUGUUUCAGCAGUACUCGCGAACAUUGGCUAUAGCAUUAUUAAAAUAGUUAAGAUGCUUGAUCCAGGAAGCAACAAAGAACAUCCUAAAGCUAAAAGUAGUGAGUGAUGAGUGGCUUUAUAUCUUAAAAAAUGACAGCGUUUCGCCAAACUGCACCUUAAAUUGUGUAAAAAUCAUUAGGGAAUAGUUGGAUAUCCUUAAAAAUGACAGAACUGAAACAAAAAAAAGUAUUUGUCUAUUAAACAAAAAUGAUUGACAAAUGAGAUUUAUCAAACGAGAUUUAUCAAAAAAGAAGGUAAAGAGGAAGAUAUUAUAACAGUUGCAACAAAUUUAUUGAAAGCAGGGUUAGAAGGUUAGAAGGUGAAAGAGAAGGUAAAGCUUCAUCUUUACAUUCCUUUUUGCCUUCUAACCUCUAAAAAAGAAGGUGAAGAGAAAGGUAUUAUUACAGUUGCAACAAAUUUAUUGAAAUCUGGGUUAAAUAAUGACUUUGUUUCAAUCAUGACUCGAUUAUCAAGAACUUAAAAUGAAAGUUUAAAGAAAUCAAUUUGUUAUUAUAAUGUUCCAAGAAACAACAUUUUUUUAAAAAUAUAUUCUACCAUCCUCAUGACAAAUUCUAUAUGAUAAAAAGAUAUUAGUUUUAAAAAGUUUUCAAAUUAAAAAAAAUUUUGGGGGUCCCCUAAGACCCUUAAACACUUAAGUUUUUAGUAUUUUCUGAAAUA